This 117-nucleotide non-coding RNA is filed under the name Gorilla gorilla gorilla (western lowland gorilla). The record is from Rfam by way of RNAcentral. Lineage: Eukaryota; Metazoa; Chordata; Mammalia; Primates; Hominidae.
GCCAGGUAUGGUGGCUCAUGCCUGUAAUCCCAGCACAUUGGGAGGCCGAGGUGGGAGGAUCACCUGAGGUCAGGAGUUCGAGACCAGCCUGGCCAACAUGGUGAAACCCCGUCUCUU